This 253-nucleotide ribosomal RNA is filed under the name uncultured bacterium. Its description in RNAcentral is "partial 16S ribosomal RNA". It matches the Rfam family "Bacterial small subunit ribosomal RNA", at positions 524 to 776 of the family's 1533-position model. The record is from RNAcentral.
UACGUAGGGUCCGAGCGUUGUCCGGAAUUAUUGGGCGUAAAGAGCUCGUAGGCGGUUUGUCGCGUCUGCUGUGAAAUCCCGAGGCUCAACCUCGGGCCUGCAGUGGGUACGGGCAGACUGGAGUGCGGUAGGGGAGAAUGGAAUUCCUGGUGUAGCGGUGGAAUGCGCAGAUAUCAGGAGGAACACCGAUGGCGAAGGCAGCUCACUGGGACGGUACUGACGCUGAGGCGCGAAAGCGUGGGGAGCAAACAGG